UUUGGGGGUUGGGACGGAGAAAGCUAUGUCUGCCGCACAUUGGAUGUUGCGGUUCAAGCUUGUAGGCCGAGGCUAUACGAUUAAAAGGUAGCCUCAUUAAAGCCGAGAAGUGAUGUGGCCCAAAACCUUCGGGUGGAGGGUAAGUGACAGAUGCUACGCUUCCAAGAAAAGCAACACGUUGAGAUUCACAUUGUUCGUACCGUAAACCGACUCAGGUGGGUAAGGAGAGAAUCCUCAGGCGUUUGAGAGAAAUUGAGUGAAGGAACUCUGCAUAUUGAUACCGUAACUUCGGGAUAAGGUAUGCCUCAUGGUGUGAAGGGUUUACCCCGUAAGCAUCGCGAGGUCGCAGCGAAAUGAGGGCGCCGACUGUUUACCAAAAACACAGGUCUCUGCAAAGUCGUAAGACGACGUAUAGGGGCUGACGCCUGCCCGGUGCUGGAAGGUUAAAGGGAUAUGUUAGGGUUAAACCGAAGCAUUGAACUGAAGCCCCAGUAAACGGCGGCCGUAACGAUAACGGUCCUAAGGUAGCGAAAUUCCUUGGCGGGUAAGUUCCGUCCUGCACGAAGGCGUAACGAGUGCCCUACUGUCUCCACUCAGUCCUCAGUGAAAUUGAACUCCCGGUGCAGAUGCCGGGUUACCGCAGCAAGACGGAAAGACCCCGUGAACCUUUACUGUAACUUGGCAGUGAGUGUCGGUUCUUCAUGUGUAGAAUAGGUGGGAGACGUUGAUCCCAGGGCGCUAGCCUUGGGGGAGUCACCAGUGAAAUACCACCCUUGAAGGACUGGCUCUCUAACCUCGGCCCAUUAUCUGGGCCAGGGACACUGUCUGGUGGGCAGUUUGACUGGGGCGGUCGCCUCCCAAAGUGUAACGGAGGCGCGCGAAGGUCGACUCAGGCGGAUUGGAAACCCGCCGUCGAGUGCAAUGGCAUAAGUCGGCUUGACUGCGAGAUGGACACAUCGAGCAGGUGCGAAAGCAGGUCAUAGUGAUCCGGUGGUUCUGUAUGGAAGGGCCAUCGCUCAACGGAUAAAAGGUACUCCGGGGAUAACAGGCUUAUCCUGUCCAAGAGUUCACAUCGACGACAGGGUUUGGCACCUCGAUGUCGGCUCGUCACAUCCUGGGGCUGAAGUCGGUCCCAAGGGUUCGGCUGUUCGCCGAUUAAAGUGGCACGCGAGCUGGGUUCAAAACGUCGUGAGACAGUUUGGUCCCUAUCUGCUGUGGUCGUGGGAAAAUUGAGAGGACCUGUCCUUAGUACGAGAGGACCGGGAUGGACAUACCUCUGGUGCAUCGGUUGUGCCGCCAGGUGCAGUGCCGAGUAGCUAAGUAUGGAUGAGAUAACCGCUGAAAGCAUCUAAGCGGGAAGCUCUCCUCAAGAUUAGUUUUCCUAGACCGUUAAGGUUUCUAAAGGCCCGUUCUAGACUAGGACGUUGAUAGGCUGGAGGUGGAAGCGCCGUAAGGUGUGUAGCUGACCAGUACUAAUUGGCCGUGUAGCUUGAC
RNAcentral lists this ribosomal RNA (1494 nucleotides) under metagenome. RNAcentral describes it as "bacterial LSU rRNA". It matches the Rfam family "Bacterial large subunit ribosomal RNA", at positions 1459 to 2925 of the family's 2925-position model. The record is from RNAcentral.